CUCUGUGUACUCACAUGGUGGUUUUCAUCUUGGUCUCGCUUUUUCUUCGAAUGGCUGGUUGCCGCCUCUUAAAAAAAUACACAAUCGCAGAAUAAAAGGACGCACGAACUUGAAUGUUGCCAUUUUUACCUUUCCUUCUAUCCCCCACUGGGGGCUGAUUUUACCCAUCUCAUUCUGCUUGUCUGUUGACUCUGUUCUCUGUCCCCGCCUCUGUCUAUCUUCCUCUUUACUCUUUUUUUGUGUGUGUCUACUGGCGUUGUUACGGACUCGCCUUGUUUGCCAUAUCCCUCUUCUCCCACUUCACGACGUACGGAGUGCUGCUGUUGCGCUAUACCACGUAAUAGACAGGCAAGCAAGCGAGCCCAACGAAGGGCUCGCACUAAACAAAGGAAGGAAAGGUCUCUCUUCUACGUUGCUUCCAUUUCCGUUACUUCUUUCAGCCGUACUUUUUGCUGAGGCGGAGGGAUGGGGAGGCUCUUUUUCCUGUCUGUUUCCCGUUAUAUCUCACUCUUCCCUGCCUCCCGCACUCCCCGCCUUGCCCCCUCUUAGCACAACACCUUUCUCGUCGGCCGCAGUGCAUUCCGGCACAACUGCCUUUGCUGUCAACUCCAGCGAAGAGCUGAUGCGGUGGCCAGGGAAGCGUGUGCGCUGAGAGAAAGUUGUGCUGUGCAUCAGAGAGGGAAGGAAGGGUUAGGGAGGGAGAGGAGAAGAGAAUACAAGGCUUCGUGUGCCCACAGCCUCACUUAUUCCACCGUCAUGCCGGUGCUUUCAUUGAACAUUGCAUCCCUUUCUGCAGCUCCCCCUCAUGUAUGCUACUCCACGAGUGUACGCGGGAGGUGAACGAAACGACACCAGACGCUAAAGGUGGUGUGGGAAAGACAACGGAGCCAUCAAAGAAGAAAGAGCUCCCCCCCCCCCUCUGGGCAACAAGAGACGGAGCUGGAAGAAAAAAACGAUGAGAAGACGCAGCCUGUGACGGCGUCCUUGGUGUGUGUGUGUUUUGCAGGAGUCUUUUCUCGGUCUCUUUUUUUUUUCGUAUGGCGGCGUGCCCCUCGUCUGGCCUUGGCUCUCUCUCUUUCCUCCCGACUCGCUCCCUCCUGGGAUUACAGGGAAAGGCGAAAGAAAAGCACACAAGGCACAUACACACACACACAUGCGUGGCACAAGCGGUAUCGACACACCCUCCCAAAGCUGUGGAAAGGGGGCAGGGAGGGGGAACGGUGCCGAUCAAAACUUCUCCUCGUCGGGGAAAAAACGACAAAACAGAAAAAAACGAGGUCCCGAGGAGUACUUUCCUGUGUACGCAUCGGGACGUGUGCAGGUGCAUGUAUAUGUUUUUUUGCUUGAAAACGACAAGAUGCAGAGCGCACGACGGCAAGUUUAUCUUCUUCUUGUGCUGAAAGAACGGGGAAAAAGAGAGAACAGACAACAAAAAAGUGGGGAAAAAGGAGUGGAAGGACGCGAAGGGAAUAAAGGAAAAGGGGAAAAGGAGUCGAGAAACCCGCGCACACGCACUCAAACCUUGCUACGGGCGAUGUGUGUCCAAGCAAACGAAGCGUGCAGGCCAGCAGAUGCCGCAUGUAGAGACCAAUGUGCCGCUUUCAUGGCUGUUCGCUGCCCCUCCCUCCUCUCCCUCCCUCUCUUUGUCUGUCUUUUCCUCCUCCCUCAUACUUGCGUUUGUAUAUGUGUGUCGGCGUGCCAGCGUAGUGCUUGGGAUUGCCCCCCUUCUCCACGUUAUCAACUUUUUGUGUUGUUUCAAAUGAUAUUUUUUUGGUGUCACUGGCAGGUUCCCUUCACGCGUAGGUACCUCCGAUAACUCGCAUUCGAACCGGCACACGCACAGAGUUGCCAUGCGGCCGUAUUCCACAAACAAACAAACCAGCAGCCAACAGCAACGCGAAAAGAUGCUUUGUGGCUCUCUGUUUACAAGGAAAGGGGGAAAACGAAUAGAGAGAAUUCUUGUUUCCAGCGCAGUACCUUCCCUCCCCCCCCCUCUCCCUCUCUUUUAUGGUCCCUUCCUUUUGUUUCGGGUUUUACUUUCUGCCCCCUUCUGUGUUGUGUCUCUUAUCAUCUCUCUUUUAUAGAAGUGCUCGAGUGCAAUGGUCACUGACUCAUGUCUGUUGCCAUGUCUAUCAUCACGCCACAGGCGCGCGAUUUGCCUGUACGACUCGCCCAUUGUCUUUGCAGAAGACAAAAUGCAACAAAAU
This 2207-nucleotide unclassified non-coding RNA is filed under the name Leishmania donovani. RNAcentral describes it as "gene:unknown". Lineage: Eukaryota; Euglenozoa; Kinetoplastea; Trypanosomatida; Trypanosomatidae. The record is from RNAcentral.